GGCUCUGAAGUAUAUAUUACGUUGAAUUGCAAAUUCGAAAAAGCAGCUUAGGUGCUGUCGGAGCUU
Molecule: transfer RNA, 66 nt
Filed under: Dasyuroides byrnei (kowari)
Lineage: Eukaryota; Metazoa; Chordata; Mammalia; Dasyuromorphia; Dasyuridae
Description: tRNA-Cys
Source: RNAcentral